CGGCAACAGCUCAAAUUUGAAAUCUGGCGCAAGCCCGAGUUGUAAUUUGUAGAGGAUGUUUUGGGUACCGCGCUGGUUUAAAUUUCUUGGAACAGAAUGUCAGAGAGGGUGAGAAUCCCGUCUUGGACCGGCGUAGGGCCCGUGUAAAACUCCUUCGAC
RNAcentral lists this ribosomal RNA (159 nucleotides) under Trichomeriaceae sp. RNAcentral describes it as "partial large subunit ribosomal RNA". It matches the Rfam family "Eukaryotic large subunit ribosomal RNA", at positions 99 to 261 of the family's 3401-position model. The record is from RNAcentral. Lineage: Eukaryota; Fungi; Ascomycota; Eurotiomycetes; Chaetothyriales; Trichomeriaceae.